Molecule: unclassified non-coding RNA, 381 nt
Filed under: uncultured Armatimonadota bacterium
Lineage: Bacteria; Bacillati; Armatimonadota
Description: uncultured Armatimonadetes bacterium contains 16S-23S intergenic spacer region
Source: RNAcentral
UCCGGCUUACACCGGCGGUCUCUCGUGAGUGCCCACCUUUACGUGCUGGUAACACAAGACGAGGGUUGCGCUCGUUGGCGGACUUAACCGUACACCUCACGGCACGAGCUGACGACAGCCAUGCAACAUCUGUCUUCAGGUCCCCUUGUGGGGGAGGGCCCUAUCUCUAGGGCUUUCCUUCGAUGUCAAGAGUGGGUAAGGUUCUUCGGUUAGUAUCGAAUUAAUCCACAUGCUCCACCGCUUGUGCGGGUCCCCGUCAAUUCAUUUGAGUUUCAACCUUGCGGCCGUAGUCCCCAGGCGGGAUACUUAAUGCGUUAGCUGCGGCACCGGGGGGGUCGAUACCCCCGACGCCUAGUAUCCAUCGUUUAGGGCGUGGACUAC